Molecule: ribosomal RNA, 446 nt
Filed under: uncultured bacterium
Lineage: Bacteria
Description: partial 16S ribosomal RNA
Rfam family: Bacterial small subunit ribosomal RNA
Source: RNAcentral
CCUACGGGAGGCAGCAGUCGAGAAUCAUUCACAAUGGGGGAAACCCUGAUGGUGCGACGCCGCGUGGGGGAAUGAAGGUCUUCGGAUUGUAAACCCCUGUCAUGUGGGAGCAAAUUAAAAAGAUAGUACCACAAGAGGAAGAGACGGCUAACUCUGUGCCAGCAGCCGCGGUAAUACAGAGGUCUCAAGCGUUGUUCGGAAUCACUGGGCGUAAGGCGUGCGUAGGCUGUUUCGUAAGUCGGGUGUGAAAGGCGCGGGCUCAACCCGCGGACGGCACAUGAUACUGCGAGACUAGAGUAAUGGAGGGGGAACCGGAAUUCUCGGUGUAGCAGUGAAAUGCGUAGAUAUCGAGAGGAACACUCGUGGCGAAGGCGGGUUCCUGGACAUUAACGGACGCUGAGGCACGAAGGCCAGGGGAGCGAAAGGGAUUAGAUACCCUGGUAGUC